This 735-nucleotide ribosomal RNA is filed under the name uncultured bacterium. Its description in RNAcentral is "bacterial SSU rRNA". It matches the Rfam family "Bacterial small subunit ribosomal RNA", at positions 28 to 776 of the family's 1533-position model. The record is from RNAcentral.
GACGAACGCUGGCGGCGCGCCUAACACAUGCAAGUCGAACGAGCGAGAGAGAGCUUGCUUUCUCAAGCGAGUGGCGAACGGGUGAGUAACGCGUGAGGAACCUGCCUCAAAGAGGUGGACAACAGUUGGAAACGACUGCUAAUACCGCAUAAGCCCACGACCCGGCAUCGGGUUGAGGGAAAAGGAGCAAUCCGCUUUGAGAUGGCCUCGCGUCCGAUUAGCUGGUUGGUGAGGUAACGGCCCACCAAGGCAACGAUCGGUAGCCGGACUGAGAGGUUGAACGGCCACAUUGGGACUGAGACACGGCCCAGACUCCUACGGGAGGCAGCAGUGGGGAAUAUUGCACAAUGGGGGAAACCCUGAUGCAGCGACGCCGCGUGGAGGAAGAAGGUCUUCGGAUUGUAAACUCCUGUUGUUGAGGAAGAUGAUGACGGUACUCAACAAGGAAGUGACGGCUAACUACGUGCCAGCAGCCGCGGUAAAACGUAGGUCACAAGCGUUGUCCGGAAUUACUGGGUGUAAAGGGAGCGCAGGCGGGAAGACAAGUUGGAAGUGAAAUCUAUGGGCUCAACCCAUAAACUGCUUUCAAAACUGUUUUUCUUGAGUAGUGCAGAGGUAGGCGGAAUUCCCGGUGUAGCGGUGGAAUGCGUAGAUAUCGGGAGGAACACCAGUGGCGAAGGCGGCCUACUGGGCACCAACUGACGCUGAGGCUCGAAAGUGUGGGUAGCANACAGG